AUUGAACGCUGGCGGCAUGCCUAACACAUGCAAGUCGAACGGUAACGCAAGAAGCUUGCUUCUUGGCGACGAGUGGCGGACGGGUGAGUAAUACUUAGGAAUCUGCCCAGUAGUGGGGGACAACUCGGGGAAACUCGAGCUAAUACCGCAUACGCCCUACGGGGGAAAGCGGGGGAUCUUCGGACCUCGCGCUAUUGGAUGAGCCUAAGUCGGAUUAGCUUGUUGGUGGGGUAACGGCCUACCAAGGCGACGAUCCGUAGCUGGUCUGAGAGGACGAUCAGCCACACUGGGACUGAGACACGGCCCAGACUCCUACGGGAGGCAGCAGUGGGGAAUAUUGGACAAUGGGCGCAAGCCUGAUCCAGCAAUGCCGCGUGUGUGAAGAAGGCCUGCGGGUUGUAAAGCACUUUCAGUAGAGAAGAAAAGUUCAGGGUUAAUACCCCUGAUCCUUGACGUAACCUACAGAAGAAGCACCGGCUAACUCCGUG
Molecule: ribosomal RNA, 488 nt
Filed under: uncultured bacterium
Lineage: Bacteria
Description: bacterial SSU rRNA
Rfam family: Bacterial small subunit ribosomal RNA
Source: RNAcentral